AUAUAUGAUGAAAAUUUUGCAGCGUUUUGCUGUUGUAAUAUUGUUAAUAAUAUCAGUGCUACACAUCGUGAUUGCUUGUGGAAAAAAGGAAGUCAGCUGUAAUCCUAAUAAUCCUCCCUGCAAGAAAUAGUUCAGUUCUGUGUCAUUUGUUAUGCUAUGGACAAAGACUUGGUGCAGGAAGUAAUAGUUCUGCUGGUAACGUUACUGCUUUCGUACCUCGAGUCCUGCUACGGGUGCACGAGGCACCAUUACAUCACUUGCAACGAGAAUCCCAAGUGCGAAAAGAAACAAACAUAACGAGAUAAAAUAAAAUCUUCGGAAGGAUGGAGUAUCUCAACGAGUUUGUGUUGGUAUUCCUCCACAUAGCGAUAUCAGUUUUUGAUCUAACUCACGGCUGUAAACGAGAACGGAGACACUGUAUGAACAGCGGUUGCUACCCGUGCAACAAGUUUGGUGGUCCUAAAGUGCGCGCUCAGGUUGAUAUUAAGUGAAUACAAUAUAAAUAUCGAUGAUGCACGUACAAAUCAUUGGGUUACUUUUGCUCUUGUUGCUCACACUGGUGCUCGGCUGUCGAAGGAAUCGGUGUCAGACGCACUGUCGGCCGUGCAACUACCACGGGCCUAUCAUCGAAGUUCUACAACCAAAACCG
Vanessa tameamea is the source of this 649-nucleotide long non-coding RNA. RefSeq lists it as uncharacterized. Lineage: Eukaryota; Metazoa; Arthropoda; Insecta; Lepidoptera; Nymphalidae. The transcript is spliced from 4 exons. The record is from RefSeq and is a predicted model, not a curated record.